Molecule: long non-coding RNA, 1487 nt
Filed under: Homo sapiens (human)
Lineage: Eukaryota; Metazoa; Chordata; Mammalia; Primates; Hominidae
Description: HSALNT0090515
Source: RNAcentral
UUGCUCUGUUGCCCAGGCUGGAAUGCACUGGGGAGAUCUCAGCUCACUGCAACUUCUGCCUCCCAGGUUCAAGCGACUCUCCCUGCCUCACCCUCCCAAGUAGCUGGGGCACAGCAAAAACCUAGAGAUUAAAAAAUGGAGUCACAUGGCUAAGCAAGAUGUAUUAUUUAUUCAGUCCAAAGAAAUGCUAUGUUACAUCUGGAUUCAAGGGACUUUGCAGUAAUUCCAAGAGGUAGAAUGUAAGUCCCUGGGGGAAAGAGUCUCCAUGUGUGUUCAGUGUUUUGUGUGUGAUGAAACCUAUAUGUGUUUUCAUUUUCUUUCCUCUAAGAAACUUUUAUAUACAUAUUAACAGUUGCAGAGCGUUAAUGGGAGAAGAGAAAUGAGCAUAAAGUAAAAUGCUAGUAGCAAUGAUUAAUGCAACACUUAUUGUGGCCAAGAAUUUUACAUUUGUUAUCUCAUUUAAGUUUCAUGAAAAUCUCCAUUUACAGAGAAGAAAACUGAGACUGAAACUACCUUGCUCAAGCUCAUCGAGCUAGUAAGUGGAGGAAUUAGGGAUGUGAAACAAGGUCUGGAUGCCUCUGGGGCCCAUGCCCUAAACUAUGAUGUCAUAUCACCUUAGAAUACUAAAUCAGGCUGGGAGUGCUCAGAAGAAUUCAGAGCUUCUGAAUUUCAGACUGGUCCACACUUGACUCAUCUGGCUAUUUAAAGUGAAUGUAGCUUCAGAAUUAGGGAACUUGAUAUCGUGAACCCCCUGCAAAUCCGCAGCAGAGCAGAGAUGCCUAGAUUCUUAAUCCAACUCUGUCAUUUACUGACAAUGUAAAUGACAGGGUUUGGCUGUGUCCCCACCCAAAUCUCAUCUUGAAUUCCCAUAUGUUGUGAAAGGAACCUGGUUGGAGGUAAUUGAGUCAUGGGGGCAGGUCUUUCCCAUGCUAUUCUUGUGAUAGUGAGUAAGGCUCACGAGAUCUGAUGGUUACUGUAAGGGGGAGUUUUCCUGCACAAGCUCUCUUCUCUUGUCUGCCACCAUAUGAGAUGUGCCUUUAACCUUCUUCCAUGAUUGUGAGGCCUCCCCAGCCACGAGGAACUGUAAGUCCAAUAAACUCCUUUCUUUUGUAAAUUGCCCAGUCUUGGGUAUGUCUUUAUGAGCAGUGUGAAAAUGGACUAAUACAGUAACCUUGUAUAUCUUAUUAACCUUCUCCAAGCCCCUAUUUCUAUUUCAUUAGCAUUGGAAGAAUAAAAUCUUCACUGUUUAUGUAAUUGGUUUUGAGAAGUAAGCCAAACUGCAUAUACUAUAAAGUACAAAACAAUAGUAUAUAUUGUGAUUAUUUUGUGAUUUUCUCAAGUAUUCUGCUUUUCCAUGGAAAUAAUAAAUUGUAAUAAUGAUGGACAUCUAUUAUUGUUGCUGUUAUUAUUGCUAAUCCUACAUAAAGUAACAGGAUUGACUAUAUAUUAAUUACGGAGGGAAUAAGAAAAAGGAAAAAAUGUUCCAG